This 198-nucleotide non-coding RNA is filed under the name Oscillospiraceae bacterium. Its description in RNAcentral is "6S RNA". It matches the Rfam family "6S / SsrS RNA". From Rfam's summary of the family: E. coli 6S RNA was the first non coding RNA to be sequenced, but its function was unknown until recently. It consists of 184 nucleotides that fold into an extended hairpin structure with a large single-stranded internal bulge. Lineage: Bacteria; Bacillati; Bacillota; Clostridia; Eubacteriales; Oscillospiraceae. The record is from RNAcentral.
AAAUACCUGCUGUGUCCGUCAUCAAUCUGUUAUAUUAACCGUUGAUAAUAAUAAGGGAAUUUUGUCUCCGACUUCGGUUUGUAUGCCCCCUGUCUGCUUUUGCAGAUGGCUGUAGGGGAAACAGUAAUGUCGUCGGGCGAGUACCCACCUGCGAGAGCAGGUUAUUAUAAAGAUUGUAACGGCACAAGUGGGUAUAUU